Molecule: long non-coding RNA, 1659 nt
Organism: Xenopus tropicalis (tropical clawed frog)
Lineage: Eukaryota; Metazoa; Chordata; Amphibia; Anura; Pipidae
Exons: 2
Source: RefSeq, a predicted model, not a curated record
UAAGCUGAGCUUAGAGCUGUUCCAGUGUUGCAGUGUGAAGGAAGGUGAAGUCAGACCAUGCUAAAAUGGCAGCUACUAUCUUAAACAGAGGGAGCUUCUAUGGCUUUUUACAUGGGUAUGGUAAAGCAUUUAGCCGAAUAAAUAUAGUGUUCUAGCUUGCACUAUUGUGAUUAAUCAAUUUCCAAUAAAAUGCUAAAAUGCUUUUCCUUUAAGUCCUGCUUCUAAUUUUUAAUUGGAAAUAUAACUAAAAUCAUCUACAAGACUGAAAGCCUAAAUUCCCUUUUUGUGACUUCAGGGAACAGGCAGCAGACACCCCCUACCUCACACAGAGAGGUCUUGGAAUCUACAAGAAAACAAGCAGCAAAAGAUGCUUCUAAUGAGGAGAUUUCCCGUAGCACUUCCAGGGAGGAGAAACUUUGUGGGCGAAAUGAUGCACUUGCAGCAAUUAAGCACGAAGAGCCACUUAGGGAAAAAAGCCCCAUCGACAAGAGGGAUGGGAUUUUCCAAAAUGAAAAUUGGAAUAAAAACAGAUCUUCUGCCAGAAAAAAAGAAAAAGAGAAACAGCUUUUUUCCUGCAAGGUGCCUCCUUCACCCACUCCUUUCAAACGGAUAAGCUUUUGUUUCCUUGAUUUUUAUUGCAUGACAACUUGGCCUCACUCGUCUUGUGACUUUUUACAUUUAGUCGUGGCCUUGCUUGAAUAUAAUCUAUUGCUUGUUUUGUCACCCUCCCAUCCUACGUUUUUCAGAUGAUGAAAGUCCUGUUUAUUGUGGGAAAAGGUCUAAUAACUGAAUCCGAAUAUAAAAUAUUACGUAAUUAAAGCAAAUGUUAUUGUAAUCACCUUUUUAAUGUGUUUUCCUCAAGCCAAGACUCCAUUUGCCACAGUGUCAUGCACGUUCUGCGAGUUUCUUCUUUUACAUUCUGUAUGCUGUAGUUUCACACAUUUGGCACUGUUUCUAGUUCCUUCUGAUUUGGUAAAGGUAAUGUUUCUGAUGCCUGCCCAUACACAUACAGACAAUAUUGUUUUUUUUAUUAUUAUUGGCGUAUGUAUGGCAUGCUGAAGAUCCAUACCGAUAUCUGCUAAUACACCCUAUGUAUGAUGCAUUGUCUAUUAGGAAGUGAGAGAAGUAGGAUGCUGUCCUGAUUUGUUUAGGCUUUUAUCCUGAAUGAAUGCAGCAACAGAAAGAUGGCUAUCCACUCGGCAGGGUUGCACCAUGUAUAGCAUAUAACAUAGGUUAAGCGUCAGUUAGCACCAGAACAGAGUUUUUGGGCUGGUGCCCACACAACAUAGUCUGUCUGCAUUUUUCUACUUACACUUAUUUUCUCACUCUUGCUUGUGGCAAUUUUUACAAGUUGGCUGAAUAGUAGUCAAAAUAAUUUCUUAUUACAUCACAAAAAGCAUAAGGCGAAGUGCAUGGGUAGAAAGGAAGCACCGAUGACAGAAUGAUAUAUGAUUGGUGCCACUAAGUUGUCUGAUGUAUCCAUUAUGAAUGGCUGGCAGUAGUGCAGCCCAGUUGGGUUUAAGUGUGCAACUGUGCCAGUCUGAGAACAGGGAGGCUGGACGUCCUGUGCAGAGCCGCAAUGGUUUCUUAUAAAGAAGUGCUGUAUUUCUCUGACAUGCCAGUGAAUUCAUGUAUACAUUAAAGUGCUGUGUAACUUGA